AUCCAGAAGACGAGUCCCAAAUAGGACAAAACGGCCAUCCUGGAU
Molecule: non-coding RNA, 45 nt
Filed under: Schistosoma mattheei
Lineage: Eukaryota; Metazoa; Platyhelminthes; Trematoda; Strigeidida; Schistosomatidae
Source: RNAcentral